RNAcentral lists this non-coding RNA (166 nucleotides) under Clostridium cuniculi. RNAcentral's name for it is "Lysine riboswitch". It matches the Rfam family "Lysine riboswitch aptamer". Rfam says of the family: Riboswitches are metabolite binding domains within certain messenger RNAs that serve as precision sensors for their corresponding targets. Allosteric rearrangement of mRNA structure is mediated by ligand binding, and this results in modulation of gene expression. Lineage: Bacteria; Bacillati; Bacillota; Clostridia; Eubacteriales; Clostridiaceae. The record is from RNAcentral.
GUAGGUAGAGGUUGCGAUAUUUAAGAGUAUGUUUAUUGAGGUAAGCACGUUGAUAUAAACGGAAAGGAAAUUUCGCCGAAACGUAUAGUUGAUGCUUUAAGACUAUAGCGUUGGGGUUAUACAAAAUAUGUAUGACACUGUCACAAAAUUUUUGUGAAGAGCUAUC